This 254-nucleotide ribosomal RNA is filed under the name uncultured bacterium. Its description in RNAcentral is "partial 16S ribosomal RNA". It matches the Rfam family "Bacterial small subunit ribosomal RNA", at positions 524 to 776 of the family's 1533-position model. The record is from RNAcentral.
UACGAAGGGGGCUAGCGUUGUUCGGAAUCACUGGGCGUAAAGCGCGUGUAGGCGGACUGUUAAGUCGGGGGUGAAAUCCCGAGGCUCAACCUCGGAAUUGCCUUCGAUACUGGCAGUCUUUGAGUCCGGGAGAGGUGAGUGGAACUCCUAGUGUAGAGGUGAAAUUCGUAGAUAUUAGGAAGAACACCAGUGGCGAAGGCGGCUCACUGGCCCGGUACUGACGCUGUGGUGCGAAAGCGUGGGGAGCAAACAGG